This 301-nucleotide ribosomal RNA is filed under the name uncultured bacterium. RNAcentral's name for it is "partial 16S ribosomal RNA". It matches the Rfam family "Bacterial small subunit ribosomal RNA", at positions 509 to 807 of the family's 1533-position model. The record is from RNAcentral.
CAGUCGCCGCGGUAAUACGGAGGGCGCGAGCGUUACCCGGAUUUACUGGGCGUAAAGGGCGUGUAGGCGGCCUGGGGCGUCCCAUGUGAAAGGCCACGGCUCAACCGUGGAGGAGCGUGGGAUACGCUCAGGCUAGAGGGUGGGAGAGGGUGGUGGAAUUCCCGGAGUAGCGGUGAAAUGCGCAGAUACCGGGAGGAACGCCGAUGGCGAGGGCAGCCACCUGGUCCACUUCUGACGCUGAGGCGCGAAAGCGUGGGGGGCAAACCGGAUUAGAGACCCCGGUAGUCCCUGUCUCUUAUAC